RNAcentral lists this ribosomal RNA (402 nucleotides) under uncultured bacterium. RNAcentral describes it as "bacterial SSU rRNA". It matches the Rfam family "Bacterial small subunit ribosomal RNA", at positions 362 to 757 of the family's 1533-position model. The record is from RNAcentral.
UUUUGGACAAUGGGGGAAACCCUGAUCCAGCAAUGCCGCGUGAGUGAAGAAGGCCUUCGGGUUGUAAAGCUCUUUCGUCCGGGAAGAAACACCGGCUCUAACACAGUCCGGGAAUGACGGUACCUGAAGAAUAAGCACCGGCUAACUACGUGCCAGCAGCCGCGGUAAUACGUAGGGUGCGAGCGUUAAUCGGAAUUACUGGGCGUAAAGCGUGCGCAGGCGGUUAUACAAGACAGGCGUGAAAUCCCCGGGCUUAACCUGGGAAUGGCGCCUGUGACUGUAUAGCUAGAGUGUGUCAGAGGGGGGUAGAAUUCCACGUGUAGCAGUGAAAUGCGUAGAUAUGUGGAGGAAUACCAAUGGCGAAGGCAGCCCCCUGGGAUAACACUGACGCUCAUGCACGAA